GAUUUUGGUGAGGAAUCGAACCUUUGGAGCGGCCAUUGGGUACUCUUCAGGCAAAAAGAGUUCCAGUUUGAAAACACCUCCUUCAUAAGGAGACUGCGUUGGACCAAGAAUCAUGACAUUAAAAUAUCGCAUAUUUUCUUCUGAGGGAGAAGCACUUAUUCCUGGUGCAGGUUCACUUAGAAGACGCUGAGUUUCCUUGAUGAUUCUUCGAGGAAGAUUGCUGUUA
This 226-nucleotide unclassified non-coding RNA is filed under the name Hevea brasiliensis (rubber tree). Lineage: Eukaryota; Viridiplantae; Streptophyta; Magnoliopsida; Malpighiales; Euphorbiaceae. The record is from RNAcentral.